This 74-nucleotide transfer RNA is filed under the name Elusimicrobiota bacterium. RNAcentral describes it as "Elusimicrobia bacterium (groundwater metagenome) tRNA-Lys". It matches the Rfam family "tRNA". From Rfam's summary of the family: Transfer RNA (tRNA) molecules are approximately 80 nucleotides in length. Their secondary structure includes four short double-helical elements and three loops (D, anti-codon, and T loops). Further hydrogen bonds mediate the characteristic L-shaped molecular structure. tRNAs have two regions of fundamental functional importance: the anti-codon, which is responsible for specific mRNA codon recognition, and the 3' end, to which the tRNAs corresponding amino acid is attached (by aminoacyl-tRNA synthetases). tRNAs cope with the degeneracy of the genetic code in two manners: having more than one tRNA (with a specific anti-codon) for a particular amino acid; and 'wobble' base-pairing, i.e. permitting non-standard base-pairing at the 3rd anti-codon position. Lineage: Bacteria; Pseudomonadati; Elusimicrobiota. The record is from RNAcentral.
GGGCCGCUAGCUCAAUUGGUUAGAGCAGGCGCCUCUUAAGCGCAAGGUUCCGAGUUCGAGUCUCGGGCGGCCCA